GCCCGAGUGGCGGAAUUGGCAGACGCGACGGACUCAAAAUCCGUUUCUGGCAACAGAGUGUGAGUUCGAGUCUCACCUCGGGCACCA
Molecule: transfer RNA, 87 nt
Filed under: Coriobacteriaceae bacterium BV3Ac1
Lineage: Bacteria; Bacillati; Actinomycetota; Coriobacteriia; Coriobacteriales; Coriobacteriaceae
Also listed under: 4 other names
Description: tRNA-Leu
Rfam family: tRNA
About the family: Transfer RNA (tRNA) molecules are approximately 80 nucleotides in length. Their secondary structure includes four short double-helical elements and three loops (D, anti-codon, and T loops).
Source: RNAcentral